UGGUUAAAAAGCUCGUAGUUGGAUCUCGGCGGACUGAGGGCGGUUUGCUUGCUAGUAUUACUGCCCUAUAGUCCGUAGUUUUGCCAGAGGUUUCGGGGUGCUCUUAAUCGAGUGUCCCGGGAUGCUGGCAGGUUUACUUUGAAAAAAUUAGAGUGCUCAAAGCAGGCUAUUACGCCUGAAUAUUCGUGCAUGGAAUAAUAGAAUAGGAAGUCGUUUCUAUUUUGUUGGUUUUCGGAAAUCGACUUAAUGAUUAAUAGGGACAGUCGGGGGCAUUUGUAUUCAAACGACAGAGGUGAAAUUCUUGGACCGUUUGAAGACAAACUACUGCGAAAGCAUUUGCCAAGAAUGUUUUCAUUAAUCAAGAACGAAAGUUAAAGGUUCGAAGGCGAUUAGAUACCGCCCUAGUUUUAACCAUAAACGAUGCCAGCUAGCGAUCUGCGGACGUUUUUUUUGUAGACUCCGCAGGAAGCUUCCGGGAAACCAAAGCAUUUGGGUUCCAGGGGAAGUAUGGUUGCAAAGCUGAAACUUAAAGGAAUUGACGGAAGGGCACCACCAGGAGUGGAGCCUGUGGCUUAAUUUGACUCAACACGGGGAAACCUCACCAGGCCCGGGACACUGGGAAGGAUUGAC
Molecule: ribosomal RNA, 630 nt
Filed under: uncultured marine eukaryote
Lineage: Eukaryota
Description: SSU rRNA
Rfam family: Eukaryotic small subunit ribosomal RNA
Source: RNAcentral